UGACAGACUGGACAAGAAUCUAGAAAGAUAAGAAAAUUCCUCACCAUGACUCACGGGUAGUGGAUCGGGAUGGCCUGCGGCUGCUGCUGAUGCUACUGGAGCUACUACUACUGCUUAAGUAGCGAAGGCUGAAGGUGGCUGCUGCGAAGGAGGAUGGCAGACGGCAGUGGUGGAAAAGACUGAGGAGGAGGCGGCUGGAACGGGGUGAAUAGCAAGCGAGGAAGAACUGUCGUCUCACUGUGGCCUUUGGGUUGGGUGAUGAUGGCGCUUUGCUUUAGGGUUUCUUUAAAAAAAAUACCUUUACAGAGUUUAGUUAUUUUUAAGUCAUUUUUUAAUGGCAAAAAUUAAAUUCAAAACUCCUUAACAAUAGUUUUGUCUUUUCACAAGUUGCUUAAGCUUAUUUAUAUUUCAAAAAAUGGCAAUGAAACUAAGUUUUUUAACUUAUUUAUAUUUUUAAAAUGGUGUUAAAAAACAUUUUCUAACCAGAUUUUAGAACCAAUGAUAAAUUUACUUAAAGGUUUAAGGAAAUAAUGUUACAACCAUUUUUAGAUGAUUAAUCUAGGGUGCAUGAGAAAACGUGGUGGAGAGGGUUGUUUUUAAAAAUAUUUUAUAUUUAUAAAUAUAUAAAAGUAAUUUUUUUUAUUUUUUUAAUUUAAUUUUAACAUCAGUAUAUCAAAAUAAUUUUAAAAAUUAUAAAAUAAUAUUUUGAAGCUUAAAAAAAUUCAAAAACUUUUAAAAGCAUAAUUGCAUAAUAUGUUUGAUAUUGUGCAUAUAAUACUUUUCAAAAGUGUUGUUCGCUUGAAAAUUAUUUAAAAAAAAAUAAAAAAAAUUUGACAUCAUUACAUCAAAACUUUAAAAAGACAUAAAAAAAUUAAUUUAAUACUUUUUAACGGCUCCGUUUGUUUGCUGGAAAAUAGUUUCCUUUUGAAAAGUAAAUUCCGGGAAAGUAAAUUUCGAGAAAGUAUUUUUCGAUAUUUGGUAUUGUAAUGGAAAAUGAGUUGGAAAACACUUUCCAGUGUUUGCUUAUGUCAUGGAAAAUGAGCUGGAAAAUAACUUAUUAAUAUUUUAUUUUUCUCAAAUCUAAAAAAUUAAAAAUGAAGAAAUUAAAAUAAUAAUAAUCAACAUUUCAUAAAUUAUUUCAAAUAAAAUAAGUAACAAUCAAAAGAAUGAGGAUCAAAUUUGAUAAAUAAAAAAUUUCAAUAAAAAAAUGAUAAGGAAAAAGCAAAUAGCAAUUAUAAAAAUAAGAAACAAAGUUAAUAUAAAAAUAAAAUUUUAAGAGAUGAAAUUGAAAAAUAAAUAUUCAAAACAAAAUAUAUAUAGCAAUCAAAAGUUUGAGGAUCAAAUUUGAUAUAAUCAGCAAAUAAUGACAUUUCUAAAUUUUUCACAACUUUCGGAAAGUGUUUUCCCCUCAAAUUUUUUAGGAAAACACUUUCCUGAAAACCAAGCCAAAUUUUUCUUUUACUGGAAAGUGUUUUCCAUUGACCAACUUUCCUACUAGCAAACAAACACAAGAAAGUUUGGAAAGUGAUUUCCCGGAAACCACUUUCCGGAAAACAAACACAGCUAAAGGGAAAACAUUUUCCUGAAAACCAAGUCAAAUUUUUUUUUGACUGAAAUUGACUAGAAAGUGUUUUCCGUUGACCGGAAAGUGUUUUUCGUUGACCAACUUUCCUAAUGACAAACAAACACAAGAAAGUUUGGAAAAUGGUUUCCCGGAAACUACUUUUCGGGAAACAAACAUGGCCGAAAUCUAAUUUUAAAACACACCGAAAAAAAUAGAAGUUAUUGUACUCUCAAACACUAGUGGUGGAUUACUCUAAUUGAUUUCUUUAUCUUUUUUGUUAUUAAGAAAUACUUGAUUAAAGUAAUGAUUAUUGUGUGUGUUUGAUAUUGUGAUAGUUUUUAGUAUUAUGACUUUUAAAAAAUGGGUUUAAGGAAAACAUUUUUAGUUACCAUUUAAAAAAGUAGUAAAAAAUAUAUGUUUUGUUAAAAAUAUUGUGAGAUGAGUUUUUGCAUGUAUAACACAAAUAAAAAUUAGGUUUUCAUGAAUGAAAAUAAAGUUAUUCUAACAUUAAAGAACCAAGUUUAAAACAUGAUUACAUGUGAGGUUUAGUGUAAAAUUUGAGGCCUAGUGUAAAAGAACACAAGCUAUUUAAUUAACGAAAUGAUUUUUCCUAAUUUUCCCAUUAUACCAAAUUAAUUUAUUUUAUCUUAUUACAGUUAUAAAAAGAAAGACACAUCACAUUAUAAUAAUUAAGAUAGUUGGUUGUCGGCCAUAAUCGUGUCAUCUGCUAGUAAAUUGUUGUGUAAUUGAUAAUUAAUCAAACGCGAGCCUCAUUUAGUUUAAUUAUAAAUAUCAAAUUAUUAUGAUAGAGUAAGCCAAGUUAAACCAGCCAAGGACAUGUUCAUCCUUUACUUGAACCUUGCAUAAAGAAAAUUACGAAUGUAGUUAAAAAAAAAAAAACUAUUAACAAAAAGCUAAAGCUGAUGGUGAUUUUACUAUUCUUCAUAAUACAUUUUACUAUUAAUUUCAAUAAUGUAAUUACUAUUUUACCCUUAGUCAUUUUCUCUUUUACCUUUGCUUUGGGGCUAGGAUGGUCUUUUUCACAAGACUUGAAUAUGUUUUAAGAAUUGAGUGAGGUUAUUUUGAUACUUGUGUUUAUAAAUGCACAGUUAAAUAACAAAUUUAACCCUGGAAUAAAAAGAUUCAAUGAUUUCUGUACAAGAAUGAUUUUGUAUUUUCAUGUUUGGUCAAAUAGUGGACUUACAAAAUUACCCAUGUUAUUCUAAUUUUUUAGCCUUGCAUUCAAGGGCUUUAUGGUAAUUUUCUUAUGCUUUAUUUGUGAUUACUGAUUGUUCUUGGGGGCAUUUUUGAUUGUGUGCAAUGAAAAAAAACAAAAAAGUUGAUAGCGAGUGUAAAGUACUUGUUAGCGCGUCAACUGCUAUGGAUUUUUUAUUGACUAUUUUUUCUCAAUUUCAUCCCUAGAUUUCAAAUUUAGUCCUAAUCAUUUUCUCAAUUUUUUGGGGAUAAUUUUGAUUGUUGUUUUCAAACUUUAUCUUUAUUUGGUUUUUUCCUGCCAGAUUUUAAACCUGUUUGUUUCUGCUUCUUUUCUUUUGCAAGUUUUUUAUUAUUAAGUUUUUCAAUGAUACCAUCAUUCAAAAUUAAAUUAGAUGACAUUUAAGCUUGUAAUUGAACUUGGGUCCAUAAUCUAACAAGUUGCAGGUUUUUUUUAGAUUAGAUGAAAGUUUAAGAGGCUCAUUUGGGAUUGCUUUGUUUUUUUUUUCUUUUUUUAAAGCUAAUGUGUUUUUUUUUUUGGAAUUUUGACUCUUUUUGUUCUGGUUUUCCUUCAAUUAGGUUAACAUCAAGUUGUUUGAUAAUCCAGAUAGGCUCGGGCAUGGUUCUUUCUAUCUUUUUUCUCAUUAUUUUUUUGGUUAAUUUAUUUAUUGUUGUUGUAUUUCAUUUUUUUUAUAUAUAUUAUUUAAAUUGCCACUUUAAAUACUGACUUUGAACUUGAAUUUUUUUUUAUGCCUGUCAUUUUUUUACAUAAAAAAAUUAUUGUUCCACUCACGGUGAAACGUCGACAACAUGUCUAGUUAGAACUAAAAGAUUAGCAAGGGUGACACGAUUUGUUUGAAGGAUCGUUGCCUUCAAUUAUUAGGUGGUAGAGUAAGGAAAGAAAUCAGUUACUGAGCAUUAAAACUAUCAGGCUACAAUGACAUCCCUAUAUAGGCCAUAUGAUAAUCCAUGUAACCUUUACAUCUUUAUAUAGAUACUCUCUAAAGCAAGCCACGUAUAUGUUCAUUUAAAAAGUCAUUCUUUAUUUGGUUGCAACUUGGGAUGGAAGUAUCCUCCGACGGAAUGGACUAAAUUGAAUGUGGAUGGAUGUAGUAAACUAAACCUAGGGUUUAUAAGUGUUGGAGGAUUGUUGCGGGAUAGUAUGGGGACUUGAAUCAAGGGAUAUGUUAUCAACAUAGGUAUGUGUUCUUCAGUUUGGGCUAAGUUGUGGCCAAUGAUUACAUGGUUGGAACUUGGUUGGUCCCUUGUGUUAUGAAGAAUCAUGUCGGAAUCUAACUCACUGUUGGUAGUGCACUUGAUCACAAAGAACAUUGUCAAAGUGGAUGCUAACUAUGCUUUAAUUAAUAAAGUGAAGACAAUUCCAGAGAGAGAAUGAGAAUCAAGUGUCAACAUAUUUUCCGUGAAGCUAAUGCAACAGUUGAUUGGUUAACAAAUUUUGGCUUAACAAAGAGUCCUCUCAGUAGAGAUGACUGGAUUAUUGAUGACUCAUCUAUGGGUUUAUCUUAAUUUUAUACCAUGACUUGGUUGGGUCAACGUUGUGUUGUUUAAUUUAAUUUUGGUGUUAACCCUAAUUUUAAACAAUAAAAAAAAAACAAAACAAAACUUUUUUUUCUUUUUGAGAUGGAAGAUAAAGAUGGUAAUGUCUUAUAAUUUACCUUUUCAACUACACAAUCAUUGAUGAUACAAGUUGGCCCCUCUUCCUCCUUUACUUCUUUUUCUUUGUUUUUGUUUUUUGUUUUUUGUUUUAAUUGGGAUUUGAAUUAUAGGGGUUGAGAAGUCAUGCCUACCAUUGCAAUUUAUUGACAAAAAAUUCCAACUCGUUCAUGAUCUCACCAUCGGUGUUUAAUUCAGCGCUUGUAUGGUCACCAUUAAUGCCCACCCUAUUACGCUUCAAAUUUAGGACACCAUAUAUUUUCAUUUUCUUUUUUUACUUGAUAAUUUUGUUUAGAUAACAAGAGUUUCAAGUUCAUUUAAUUAUGACGCCUUUUUGUUGAUUUUCAUAAAUUAGUUAUUUAUUUGCUAAUUAACUACACUCUUUUUAUAAACAAAUAUGUUAAUUUAAUGGCUUAACAAGGAAAGAAAUUGAGAGAAAAGAGAAGGGAAUUAAAGAAGAGAAUAAAGAAAAGGAAAUACAUUGUUUUAUUAUUACUUAUAUCUCAUGUUAUUCACGUUGUUCUUUUUUAUAUAGUGCAGCAAAGCCUAUUGUUGUAACUAGUUAUCCCUUUCCAAUAACUAACUUCAACUAACUAUUAACUACCCUUAACUAACUUGUAAACUCAUGUUCCACGUGCUUAAUCUCUUUUGUUGCUGCAUUGCUAUUUCUACACUUCUUUGUUACUUAACGUGCUUAAUGGAAUGACUGUAACAAUACUUUAUCCCUUUAAUUGAUUCUUGACCUCAAGAAUCGAAACAAAACUCAAGAAAUUGUUGUUAAGUCUUUUCUAAUUCCUCCAAUGUUGUAUCCUCAUGAAAGGAAUUAAACCACUAUAUUAGUCCUACCACCAUAGUCUUAUAGUCUUUUUUCAUGAGCUUCCUGUCCAAAAUUGUAAGUGGACAAAUCUUAAUCAUGCCACUGUCAUCCAUUACUAAAAUUUGUUGCGAUGUCGCGGUCGCACAAAUUAAUUACCCUAGCUUAAAACACACAAGAUAUUAUAGAGCAAGCAAGGGGUCGAUCCCACGAGGAAGUUUGAAGUUAGAUUUUUAUGUUGUACGUUAUGUAAUUGGGGGGGAUUGAUUUGAAAUGAUUUAAACUAUGGCAGAAAUUAAACUAGCAAACAAAAUCAAUUGAAACUGAAAUAUAUCAAGAAAACAAACCUUGGUUGCAAGCACACAUCCACCAACGGAAAUUAGAACCGAUCCUUGAAACGAAACUCCAGUUUAUAUUAUGAAUUUUAUCUUUUCUUAAUAUUGGUUAAUUAACGGAUCCGCCGUAUAACUAUCCCUAACCAACAAACAAUCACAGUGUCCGCACUAAUGAUUUAAUCCAAUGGCAGCCUUAAGAUCCAGAUAAAUUCAUUAAUCUUAACAACCAAGUUGUCAAUUUGUGUUGCUAUGAUCGAAUGUUCUCCCUAAGUUUAAUAACGUAGUUCCGCUACAAUUAUCAAGCUUAGUUGCUUCACAAGUUUAUAUACCACAACUCCGGUUUUGAUAUCAAACUUAGCAAUAGAUUGUUCACAAUAAUAACUUAGAGUCCGCUCUAGCAAUUAAGAUAAACAAUCAUAGGAAAUAUGCAUAGGAAAACAAACAUACUCAUUCAUAACAUAAACUGAAAAUAAAAGGAAGAAUAAAUCUCACGUUCUUGAAAUCCGAAGGUUUGUUGUGUCCUUGCAACCAAGAAAACGAGCUUAGCCUUGCAUAUCUAUUGAACAACUACUCCUAAAGAUGAAAGAAUACAUAAUUUCUGAUUUGUAGAGAGGAGAGUUUGUGUUUCCUUCCUUCUUUUCUUUCUCUUUUCUACCUCCUUCUACUCACCCUCUAUUUAUACACAAAUUGUAAGUAAGAAAAUAUCAAAGUUCAAGUGUGAACAUCAAUAGAUGGUGGUAGUGUGAAGGCUGGCUGGCUGGCUGGCUGCUGGGUGAGGUUGGUGGCUGCCAUGAGGUUGGUGGCUGCCAUGAGGUUGGUGGCUGCCUUCCUUGACCUUCUAGAAUAUUUACUAAGGAGCUAAAUUGCUGGUCGGUUUGGAUGCUUCUAGAUGAAAUUUGGAUUCGUUUCUUCACGCAACCUGCUUGCUGGCAGAAUUCAGCUGUCAUCUUUGAAAAAUCAUAUAUCCCUCAUAUGACAUCGUUUUUGGCUGAAAUUUGGAGCGUUUAUAGAUCUUUGAGUAAGGAAUCCAACAAAAUUGAGUUUGCAUCAAUUGGACUUCUGAAGCUCCAGAUAUUGAAUUUUGAAUGGGCAAAGGUCAACAUUGACAGACUGCGAGAUUUGACUUUGAAGGAUGUGAUUUCAAUGAUCUUUCUCUUUUUAUUUUUCUUGCAUUACAUUUCCAGAAAGGUAUGGAUGUUAGCUUUUUAAUGCCACUAGAAUCACUUCAUUUCGAUCUCUGGAACUCACGCUCUGCACAAAAUACCGACUGAACGUCAAAUCUGCCAAUUACCUCCAAUUUACUCCUUUUUGCAUCUUUCAUCCAAAAAUGCCUUCAAAACAUAAAACAAAGAAUAUCAAGGCAUUUUAUAUAAAAACAUAUGCAAAACACUAGUUAAAUGCGGUGAAACUAUCGAAUAAUAUGGUUACAUCAAAUACCCCCACACUUAGCUCUUGCUCGUCCUCGAGAAAGGAUAAAUAAAAUUAAAUUAAAUAACUAUGAUCAAUUCUUAAUCUCCCAUCAAUGUCUAAGAGUACAAGCAUUAUAAACAAGAAUACAAUCAUGAAGGAUAAAUAAUAUAAUUUCAUGAAUUUAUUUACAUGCAAACUUCAAAACUCAAUCAAUCGUCGGAUUUAAAUGAAAUCUAUGCCAUGCCAAAGUGAUAGGUCCUCUCAUUGAUAUACACUCCAACACUCAUGUGUUUAGGGUUUAUGUGUUUAAAUCUCUCAAAUUCAAUCAAAGAGUAUGUUCUACCAUAAGCUUGCUUUUCAAUCUCAUCUCCAUUAGCAACUAUUACAAGUAUCAUGAAUCAAAAGGUCUUAUUUUCCGGUUGUAAUGGGGCUAGGUUAAGGUGAGGUAAAAGAAAGUAAAAGGAAAGGUUCAAACCAAAGAAAGUAGAGCAUUUAAAAAUGAUAUUCAAACAAGAUAUUCCAUCAAAGCACAUAAAUUUUCAUCUUUAAUCACAAUGCUUAACUCCUUUUGAUUUCAAGCUCUUUCAACAUAAAAUCUUAAGAACAUAAAGGAACUUUUUUUUCUUUUUUUUUUUUUUUUUUUUUUUUUCUUUGGCAACUUGCCCAUUUUUCAUCAAGCAUCACUUCUUUCUUUUCAUAUAAUUUCCAACCAUAAUUCCAUAAAUAUUACAAGUAUAUGCUCUACUAAUCCUUGGCCAGGGGAAAGAAAACAUAUAUAAAGUUAAGGCUUAUACAUGGAUAAAGCAAAAAAAGAUAAACAAGCUCAAAAGGGUUCACUAAGGAUAAUAUGCUUUAGGUUGGCUUUUUGGCUUGAGGUUAAAAUUCCUAAUGCCUUUAUCAUCUUCAUGUAUAUUUGUAAUGGAUAUAAUCUCAAUAAGAUAUGAAGCAAGUUCUAGAGAUACUAUCAUUGAAAGAAUGCACACUCAAAGAAUAUAAUGUUGAAGGCUCAAAAGCUUGCAUUGGUAUAACACUAUAAAGUCAACAUGGCAUAUUCUCAAAGUCAAUCCCUAAACCAAUUAAACCUUAAAAUUUGCAUGCAUACUCCUUCAUUUGAUUUAUAUCUUCAUCUAUCUCAAUUAAUUCUCAUAUAUAAUACUCAUAUUCUCAAAAAACCAAUGGGAGUUAAAAAGAUCAAACACAAUUUUUUUUUUUUAAAAAAACAACAAAGAAAAUAAAAUAAGAAAACCAAAAUUCUCCAAUACCCCCACACUUAAAACACAACAUUGUCCUCAAUGUUGAAAUAAAAGCAAAGGAACAUAAGAGAAUGACAAAAUAAAGUAAAAUACGAAAAAUAAAAGAUAAGGAAAAAGAAAGCAAAUCUGAUUUUUUUUUUUUUUGUGCUGGGUUGCCUCCCAGUAAGCGCUUUUGUUUUAUGUCAUUGGCUUGACAUGUGCAUGCUCAUUCUUCAUAGAUUGGUUCAGCUAACUCUGCAGAAGCGGUGAGUUCUGCCGUCCAACCUUCAUAGAAAGGUUUCAAACGAUGCCCAUUGACUUGAGUAUUUGUUGUUUCUAAACUUGUAAUUUCAACUGCACCAUAAGGAAAAACAUUAGAAACAACAAAGGUCCAAUCCAACGAGAGCGUAACUUUCCAGGAAAAAGUUUCAAACGCGAAUGAUAAAGAAGGACUUUGUCUCCAACAUGAAACUCCUUUCUUGUAAUCAUUCGGUCAUGAGACUCUUAGUCUUUUCUUUGUAAAUCCUUGCAUUCUCGUAAGCAUCAUUUCGAAUUUUCCAACUCUUGCAAUUGCAACUUUCUUGCAAUCCCAGCAGCAUCAUAAUCCAUGUUACAUUUUUAAUGGCCCAAAAAGCUUUGUGUUCAAGCUCCACCGGUAGAUGACAUGCUUUCCAUAAAUCAUCUAUAAGGUGACAUUCCUAUAGGUGAUUUAUAAGCAGUCCGAUAAGCCCAAAGUGCAUCUCCAAGACGUAGACUCCAAUCUCGCCGGUUAGGUUGCACUGUUUUCUCCAAAAUGGACUUGAUUUCUCGAUUUGAAAUUUCAGCUUGGCCAUUCGUUUGAGGAUGAUAUGCUGUGGAAGUUCGAUGAGUCACAUGAUAUUUGCGUAGCAAUGCUUCCAUGGAACGAUUGCAGAAAUGAGUGCCACGAUCACUAAUGAUAGCUUUAGGGAUGCCAAACCUGUCAAAUAUGUGAGUCCUGACAAAAUCUAAAACAACCUUAGCAUCAUUAGUUCGUGUGGCUUUCGCCUCAAUCCAUUUGGACACAUAAUCAACAGCAAGAAGAAUAUAAAGAUUUCCAAAAGAAGAAGGAAAUGGACCCAUAAAGUCAAUACCCCAAACAUCAAAAAUUUCACUUACAAGAAUAUUCGUUAAAGGCAUUUGAUUCUUAUGAGUGAUAUUACCUGUUCUUUGGCAUUUUUCACAUGAUUUGCAAAAGUGAUAUGCAUCUUUAAAAAUAGAAGGCCAAUAGAAACCACUUUCAAGUACCUUGUGGGCUGUUCUUUUUGCUCCAAAAUGCCCACCACAAGAAUGAGAAUGACAAAAGUGAGAAUGGAAUGAAAUUCAUCUUGUGUACACACUCCUAACUAUUGAUCCGCACAAAAUUUCCAAAGGUAAGGAUCGUCCCAAAAAUAAUAUUUAGCAUCAGCUCGUAACUUAUCUUUUUGGGGUUUAGACAAACCUGGAGGGAAUUCGUUGGUGACUAAAUAGUUUACCAAAUCAGCAUACCAUGGUCUUGUAGAGGAAUGCAACAUAUACAACUGCUCAUCGGGAAUGUCUCUCUUAUUGUUUCGAUUGUAUAUCCUCGUCCUUAGUCGGCUCAAGUGAUCAGCCACAUGGUUUUCAGCACCUUUUUUAUCUUUGAUCUCAAGAUCGAAUUCUUGUAAAAGCAAGAUCCACCUAAUCAGUCUUGGUUUGGACUCUUUUUCUUCAAAAGAUACCUUAAGCUGCAUGGUCAGUAAAAACAAUGACUUUUGUACCAAGUAGAUAUGACCUGAAUUUUUCAAGAGCAAACACACACUGCAAAAAGUUCCUUUUCAGUUGUAUGGUAAUUGCAUUGUGCUCCAUCCAACAUGCGAGAAGCAUAGGCGAUAACAUGCAAAUUCUUCCCAAUUCUUUGCCCAAGCACAGCUCCUACCGCAUAGUCACUCGCAUCACACAUUAUCUCAAAAGGUUCAUCCCAAUUUGGUGGUUGGAUGAUAGGGCAGAUGUGACACGUCUCUUAAGCUCAUCAUGGGCAUCUUUACAUGCUUGAUCAAACACAAAAUCCACUUCUUUGGCUAAUAGUUUGCACAAGGGUGUGUAAUCUUCGAGAAAUCUUUGAUAAAGCGUCGAUAGAAACCUGCAUGGCCUAGAAAAGAACGAAUUCCCUCACGCAUGAGGGGUAAGGCAAUGAUGAAAUAACAUCUAUCUUAGCUUUAUCAACCUCUAAUCCACGUGAAGACACAACAUGCCCAAGAACUAUUCCUUGUUCUACCAUAAAAUAACACUUUUCAUAGUUCAAGACAAGGUUAGUUUCAAUGCACCUUUUCAGGAUCAAAGAUAAAUUUUCUAGACAUUUAUCAAAAGAAUCACCAUACACUGUGAAAUCAUCCAUAAAAACCUCAAUUAUUCUUUCAACAUAGUCAGAAAAAAUACUCAUCAUGCAUCUUUGAAAAGUUGCGGGAGCAUUACAGAGACCAAAGGCAUUCUCCUAUAUGCAUAUGUACCAAAUGGACAUGUAAAUGUAGUCUUUUCUUGAUCCUCAGGAUUAAUAACAAUCUGAUUGUAUCCACUAUAUCCAUCAAGAAAGCAAUAAAAAGACUUACUGCCAAGCGUUCAAGCAUUUGGUCCAUGAAUGGUAAUGGGAAAUGAUCUUUGCGUGUAGCAAGAUUUAGCUUUCUAUAAUCAACACACAUUCUCCAUCCACUCGAGAUGCGAGCAGGAAUGAGUUCAUCAUUUUUAUUUUUCACCAACGUGAUUCCGGUCUUUUGGGCACCACAUGGAUUGGCGCCACCCAUUUACUGUCCGUGAUGGGGUAAAUGACACCUGCAUCUAACAGUUUCAAAAUUUCAGCUUUCACUACCUCCAUCAUAGGCGGGUUCAACCUCCUUUGCAUUUCCCUUGUUGGUUUUGCAUUGUCCUCCAAUAGUAUGUGAUGCAUACACAUUGAGGGACUAAUGCCCUUGAUGUCGCUAAAGUCCAUCCAAUGGCCGUCUUGUGAUCACACAACAACUUCACAAGUUUUUCCUCUUGCAUACUUGUCAAACCUUUUGCUAUGAUAACAGGAAGUGUAUUGUUGUCACCAAUGAAUACAUACUUCAAAUUAUCGGGCAAAGGUUUUAAUUCUAACUCGGGGGCCUGUAAAAUAGAUGGCAAAGCUUUUUAUGUGAGAGUACUAAAUCAACAAAGACAUUACCAUGGGGAAGGUUUGUAAAGCUUGUAAGCCAAUACUGAUUCGUGCACAUUUUGAGAACACACACGUGCCUCUCCAUCUUUUUAUCUUGGUGAAAUCAUAGCCAUAGCUUAAAGCUAUGCUUAAUCCGUCUUCACAAUCAAAAUCACAAACUUGCUGCACACACUUAUCAAUUGGUCAUAGCAUGUGAUAGAAUAAACAUUGCUAUAAGGAUAUUUCAUUGCAUCAUGAAAAUUAAUUCAUUUUUUCAUCUCCUACUUCCAUAGACAAAGUAUCCUUACCACAAUCAAUCUUUGUAUUGGCAGUUUUCAAGAAUGGUCUCCCAAACAAUAUAGGAGUGUGUUGAUGAAUCACAAGAAUCAUGUUCCAUAUCAAGAAUAUAAAAGUCACAUGGAAUAACCAAACUAUCAAUCUUGACUAGGACAUCUUCUAUCACACCAAGUGGGUAAACAAAACUACGAUCCGCAAGUUGUAUUACAAUACUAGUUUUAUUCAAAGGCUCAGACUAAGAGAAUCAUAAACAUGUUUGGCAUAACACUAAUGGAUGCACCUAAAUCGCAUAAAGCCUUUUAAAACUAGCAUUACCAAUAACACAUGGGAUAGUAAACGCACCUGGGUCUUUUUUUCAAAGGCAGAUUCUUUUGAACAACAGCAGAUACAACUUCACCCAUACUUACCAUUUCAUGACCUUUCAGUUUGAAAGCUCUCUUGGUAGUACACAACUCCUUCAAAAUUUGGCAUACUUGGGAAUUUGCUUGAUAGCAUCAAGCAAAGGAAUGUUGAGUUCUACUUUCUUAAAACCUCUAAAAUCUCUUUUUCUUUGUCCUCUUUCUUUGACCUAGAAGAACUCAUAGGAAAGGGUGGAAUUGUUUUAAAACUGGAAUUCAUUGAGUGAGGAGUUACCUUUGGAGUGUUGGUCUUUGUUUCAGUUUGUGGAGAGAGGAGAUGUUCCUUCUUUGUACUCAAUUCAGUUUCUAUCUCUUCUUCUUCCUCCAUCUCAAUUUGUUUUAACCUUUUCUCUUCAAGUUCUUUCCCACUUCGCAGCAUGAUCGCACUAACAUUCUCUUUUGGAUUCAAUGCUUGGGAGGGCAAUUUUCCAUUCAUUUGUGCUUCCAAUUUCCCCACACUUGAAGCUACUUGCCCCAUUUGCUUUCCAAGUUGUGAAUACUUGACCUUGUUUCCUGUUGAAAAGACAUGACAUUUUGUUGCAAGGUAACAGUAUUAGAAGCCAAAGUUUUCAUCAUCUCACGAAGAUCAUCAUUGGAUGACGACCCCAUAACAUUGGAGUUUGUGAAUGGAGGGGGUUGUCUUGCUUGAUAAUUCUGUUGGGGCUGAAAUCCAUUGGGAUGGAAUUGUCGGCCUUGAUUGCCUUGUUGAGGUUGGUUCCCAUACCGUAGGUUAGGAUGAUCUCUCCAUCCAGGAUUGUACGUGUGGGAAAAAGGAUCAUACUUACGCUGAGGCUGUCCAUUAAAUGCUCCAUCAACUGCAUUAGCUUGUUCAAUGUAAUCUUCUUGCAUUGUUGGGCACAUAUCUGAAGCAUGUCCUUGUGAGGAGCAUAUGCUACAACUUUCACCUGUACAUUGCCACAAGCCAAAGAACGCACAAGAGAAGUAAGAUCAUUAACUUUAUUUCAAGGUUAGAAAUACUUACCUCAUUUACUCGUUUGUUGGAAAGUCUCCACGAGUGCCAAAUGUUUCGAGUUGGCUGCCAUGUUUGAGAUCAAUUGGCGUGCAGCCUCGGUGUCUUAUCUACCAAUGCCCUCCACUUGCAGCAUCAAUGAUACUACGGUCAGUAGGCAUCAAUCCUUCAUAGAAAUAUUGAAUGAGCAGCUGAUCGGGUAUUUGAUGAUGAGGGCAUUGAAUACAUAGUUGCUCAAAUCUUUCCCAAUACUCGGAAGUCUCUCCAUGAGAUUGCGAAUCCCACAUAUUUCUUUCCUUAUGUUGGCAACUCGAGAUGCUGGGAAAUACUUCUCAAGGAAAUCUUUUCAUGCAUUCCAAGUUCCAAUUGAACCUGGGAGAAUGAGAAAAGCCAUGCUUUGCUGCCCCUUUUAAAGAGAAAGGGAAAGCUUUCAACUUAACUGUUCUUCAUCAACUCCAUUCGGUUUCAUGCCAACACAAACCAUAUGGAACUCCUUGAGAUGAGUAUGAGGAUCUUCUCCUGCAAGACCAUUAAAUGUUGGUAACAAAUGUAUAAAACCAGAUUUGAGCUCAAAGUUUACAUUAUUGUCGAUGUUUAUGCACAAUGGUGAUUUUCCACGUUAGGAGCAGCAAGCUCCUUGAGUGUUUGUUGUCGUGCAACCGCCAUGGUGUUGAGGCGAGCUUCCUUUCUUAACCUGCGUAAAGUGCUUUCUAUUUCAGAUCAACUGCACUAGACUCUGAUUAGUAGAACGGGUUACUGGCAUCAAUGCUAAGAAAACUCAAAAGAAACAACCACACAAGAGAAAAAAAAAAUGCAAAUUAUAUGAAAAUCUACGCUAGAAAACUAAAACUGCCUAAAAACCUAGAAAACAGCAGAAUUUGGCCUCGAUAGGUGGGGCUAGUGGUUACCACUAGUCUUGUUCAGAACGUCGUUUCACUUCAAGAAAAAAGGUUAGAAACCUAAUUCCACAAACAAUUCUGUUUUGAACAGUACCGCUGCGCAAGUGAACAGUAACACGCCGCAAGCAAAAAUUCUGUUUUUUUUUUUUUUUUCCAGAAAUGUAAAUAACAAUCACAGAAACUAAAAAUAACAGUACAAGCACAAGAAUCAACUAAAAUUACUUCCCCGGCAACGGCGCCAAAAUUUGUUGCGAUGUCGCGGUCGCACAAAUUAAUUACCCUAGCUUAAAACACACAAGAUAGUAUAGAGCAAGCAAGGGGUCGAUCCCACGAGGAAGUUUUAGUUCAGAUUUUUAUGUUGUACGUUAUGUAAUUGGGGGGUUGAUUUGCAAUGAUUUAAACUAUGGCAGAAAUUAAACUAGCAAACAAAAUCAAUUGAAACUGAAAUAUAUCAAGAAAACAAACCUUGGUUGCAAGCACACAUCCACCAACGGAAAUUAGAACCGAUCCUUGAAACGAAACUCCAGUUUAUAUUAUGAAUUUUAUCUUUUCUUAAUAUUGGUUAAUUAACGGAUCCGCCGUAUAACUAUCCCUAACCAACAAACAAUCACAGUGUCCGCACUAAUGAUUUAAUCCAAUGGCAGCCUUAAGAUCCAGAUAAAUUCAUUAAUCUUAACAACCAAGUUGUCAAUUUGUGUUGCUAUGAUCGAAUGUUCUCCCUAAGUUUAAUAACGUAGUUCCGCUACAAUUAUCAAGCUUAGUUGCUUCACAAGUUUAUAUACCACAACUCCGGUUUUGAUAUCAAACUUAGCAAUAGAUUGUUCACAAUAAUAACUUAGAGUCCGCUCUAGCAAUUAAGAUAAACAAUCAUAGGAAAUAUGCAUAGGAAAACAAACAUACUCAUUCAUAACAUAAACUGAAAAUAAAAGGAAGAAUAAAUCUCACGGUUCUUGAAAUCCGAAGGUUUGUUGUGUCCUUGCAACCAAGAAAACGAGCUUAGCCUUGCAUAUCUAUUGAACAACUACUCCUAAAGAUGAAAGAAUACAUAAUUUCUGAUUUGUAGAGAGGAGAGUUUGUGUUUCUUCCUUUUUCUUUCUCUUUUCUUACCUCCUUCUACUCACCCUCUAUUUAUACACAAAUUGUAAGUAAGAAAAUAUCAAAGCUCAAGUGUGAACAUCAAUAGAUGGUGGUAGUGUGAAGGCUGCUGGCUGCUGGCUGCUGGGUUGAGGUUGGUGGCUGCCAUGAGGUUGGUGGCUGCCAUGAGAUUGGUGGCUGCCUUCCUUGACCUUCUAGAAUAUUUACUAAAGGAGCUAAAUUUCUGGUCGGUUUGGAUGCUUCUAGAUGAAAUUUGGAUUCGUUUCUUCACGCAACCUGCUUGCUGGCAGAAUUCAGCUGUCAUCUUUGAAAACUCAUAUAUCCCUCAUAUGACAUCGUUUUUGGCUGAAAUUUGGAGCGUUUAUAGAUCUUUGAGUAAGGAAUCCAACAAAAUUGAGUUUUCAUCAAUUGGACUUCUGAAGCUCCAGAUAUUGAAUUUUUAAUGGGCAAAGGUCAACAUUGGCAGACUGCGAGAUUUGACUUUGAAGGAUGUGAUUUCCAUGAUCUUUCUCUUUUUAUUUUUCUUGCAUUACAUUUCCAAAAAGGUAUGGAUGUUAGCUUUUUAAUGCCACUGGAAUCACUUCAUUUCAAUCUCUGGAACUCACGCUCUGCACAAAAUACCGACUGAACGUCAAAUCUGCCAAUUACCUCCAAUUUACUCCUUUUUGCAUCUUUCAUCCAAAAAUGCCUUCAAAACAUAAAACAAAGAAUAUCAAGGCAUUUUAUAUAAAUAACAUAUGCAAAACACUAGUUAAAUGCGGGUGAAACUAUCAAAUAAUAUGGUUACAUCACAUCCAUUACUAGCGAGGUAGAUGAAAACACACUUUCUUCACUAAUCUUUCAUUUCAAAAGUGAAACAUGGAAAGACAAGCUGGAAUGAAUUACUUUCUAGUAAGUUUGUAAGCUAUAGUGCCAAUUCUCGUAAUGAUUUGGUAUAAGCCAUAAUACCUAAGAUUUAACUUAUAAUUCCUUUUAAAAGACACAUUGUCUUGUCUAUAUGGUAUCAACUUUAGAAAUACGCAAUCUCCUUCUACAAAUUCAUGUUUAGUCCUCCUUUUAUUUGCUAUCUGCUUCAUUUUGUUUCUUGUUGUUUCUAGCUGAUUUUUAACACUUGAUCCAUGUUAAGUCUUCUUUCUACUAACUCUUCCAUGAUAAUAAUUAUAGUAGAGUCCAGUAGGGAGUAUCUUUCUAAUUGGUGGUAUGUAACUAAAUAAUGCAUGAAAUUGAGUCAUGCUUAUAGUAGAAUGGAAGUUGUUAUUGUACCAUCAUUGUGCAAGAGAGAGCCACAAGCACCAUUUCUUGGGUUAUGCAUAGUUAUGCAUCUUAAGUAUAUCUUCAAGCAUUGGUUCGCCCUCUUUGUUUGGUCGUCAACUUGAGAGUAAUAUGAGGUGCUCAUUAGCAAUUUAACUCCCAACCUCUUGAAUAGUUUUUUCCAUAAAAGGCUUGUGAAAACAUUGUCCUUAUCAAUAACUAUUCUGGAAGGUGAUCCAUGAAAUUUGUAAAAAUGGUCUAAAAAUAUGUGAGCAAUAUCUUAAGCCAAAAAUGGAUGAGAUAAUGCUAUGAAAUGCCCUUAUUUCAUUCAUUUAUAUGCAAUUACCAAAAUAGUAUAUUUCCUUUCAUUUAGACAAUCCCUCAAUAACAUCUAUUGAGAUGUCUUCUAAUGCCCUCUUGGGAGUUAGCAAGGGUUGUAGUAAUCCUUGAUAAGAUACAAUUUCUGCUUUAGCUUAUGAACAGAUGCUACACUACUAGACAAACUCUUUCACUAGCUUUUUCAUGGCUGACAAGUAGAACUUAAGACUUUUGUAAGAGUUUUGUAUUCCAGCAUGACCAUCAAUACAGGAAUUAUAUGUAAUUUACACUAACUGAUUUCUUAAGGGUUUAUUGUCUUUAACUAUUAUUUUGCCCUUAUACCUUAAAAAUGUCUUCUAAUAAAUAAAAUCUAAAAAUCUACUUGUAUAUAUUAUCACACUAGUAAUCAAGGUUGUUAAAAUCGCGAUUUUAACACGGCACGGAAAGCCGUUCACAAACUCGGAUCGUAAAAACGGAUCGUAAAAUCGUAAGGAAUUUUAAAAUACAUUAAAAUUUCACCUCAUUAAUUCAGUCCUAUAAUACUGAAAUGACAUUAAAUUCAGUCCAAUUUUCACCCCAUUAAUAUUCAACAUUUUUUCAGUCCAAUUUUCACCCCAACUCAAUCAAUUCACUCCAAUUUUCACCGAGUAAUAUUUUGCACAAUUCAGUCAUAUAUAGUAUAUACUGUGGCAUUCAAUUCAACAAUUUUCACAUCCGAUCAAUUCCAUUCAAUUCAACAUUAUACAUAUACAAUUUACAAGACCGGGCAAAAUGAAUUACAAGACUAACUAACAAUUAACACUUAACAGGAAAACAUACAAAUCUAUUACAGGGGCAAAAAUAAAGAAACCUUGACUCCGGUGAUGAUGAUGAAGGCAAAAUGAACUUACGAUGUCGCUGACUGCUAUUGAAGAUGAUGAUGAUGAGCUGAACAACUAUUGUUGAAGAUGAUGAUGAUGAGCUGAAUAGCUGCUGGUGAAAAGGCCUGACCGCCCGAUGUCGCCUACUGCUGUUGAAGAUGGGAAGGAAAGGAGAACGUUGCCGGCGUGCCGCUAUUAAUAAAGAUUGCAGAGGAAGCCCGAAGCCGUGAGCUGUUGAGGAGAUCGUUGUCGGCUCGUCGCGGUUAAAAUCACGAUAACUAGAAAAGGAAGCCGCGACCGUAAGCACUGAGGAAAGAGAAGGAGUGAAGACUGGAGUCACCGGACCGUGAGCACUGUCGCUGGCCGCUUUUGUGGAGGAUGGAGAAUAAAUCGUUGUCGCCGCCCGAUUAGGGAUUUGUUCUGUUGGAAUUGGAAAGAGUAUUUGUGAAUUGUGAUUUAUGAAAGAGUUUUUCGCCUCAAUUGGAAAUAGCAGAGUGAAGACAGUCACGUGAGUCCGUGACUGUGCAGGAAAAAUCCAAUAGGCAUCUGACAGCUAGACAUGAGGGGGGGGAUUUUGUUUCAAGGCCUCAUUUUGUCAAAAUCGCAAAAUCGGUCCUGAACUUGCGAUUUUGUGCGAUUUCAUUCGAUUUUUGAGAUUUCACUCGAUUUCAACCCGAUUUUACCCAUUUUCGAUUUUUUCAAGCAAUUCAACCCAUAAUGCAUGUUUUGACUCGUAAAAUCAUACGAUUUUACGAGUCAAAACACGAUUUUAACAACCUUGCUAGUAAUUAUCUCCCAUGUUGUUUUGUUAUUAUUGUAUGAACCAUAAAUUUCUUCAUACAAGCAAGUAUCAAUAAUUUUUAUAGGUGUGUCUUCUUAAUAGAGCAUCUACAACCACGUUUUCUUUCCAUUUUAUAUAUAAAAUUUGAUAAUACAAUCCUAUUAAUUUAGUAAGUCCUUUCUUUUGAAUAGUUGUAUGGAUCUUCUAGUCUAAUAGAUGUUUAAGACUCUCAUAAUCAACUUGGAUUACAAAUUGUUCAUGUUCUAGGUGGUGCCUUUUUUAGUCUAUUACUAUUAAAAUUACCAAACACUUCUUCUUAUAGAUGGAUAACCCCAUAUGUCUCUCUAUCAAGGCCUUGCUAAGAAAAGCAAGAGGUUUGCCCUCUUUAUUGAGCACCACUUUUAAUCUUAUAGCACACGCAUCUGUCUAUAUUACAAAAGUUUUUGUGAUAUCAGGUAAGUCUAAGAUUAAAGCCUCACUUAAAGCCUUUUAUAACAUAUCAAUAUGCUCCUUCAUUCUAUCCAAAACUAUUUGUCCUCGACAAAUCUGUGAGUGGUUUGCUUAUGAUACCAAAUUCUCUAAUGAACUUUCUAAAGUAGCAUGCCAAACAAAGAAAACCCCUAUCUGCUAAGAUUACAUGCCCAAAUAUUACAUUUGAUGCUCACCAUGUAUACACCUGGAUUUCUUUGCAUACAAUUGAUUAGUAUGAAGAGUUUUUAAGACAUGUUUCAAGUGAUGUAUAUGCAAUUCUAAGUAUGAACUAUAAACCAAUAUGUAAUAAAAAAAAAAACACUAAAACAAACUUCUUUAGAAAAAGGUUCUAAAAUGUUUAGACUGAAGCAAGCUUAGAAAUGAAUCUAAUGGAAAUUUAGGUCUCUUGGAAGAUUCUUGUUUCCUUUUUAGUGAAAGAGGGAAAAGGCAUGUGGGAGAAAGGAUUCUCAAAGGAGAGAAUCUUUCAUCCACCACACUAAGCAUAGUAGAGGUAGACCCUUGAACAAUUGGAAGUUCUCAUUCAUAUCUUAGGAUCCAUAUCAUCUAAAAACUUUUCCUAUUCCAUUAGCAUUCAUAACUGCUUAGGGAUUAGGAACUUAUUCUUGAUAGUUAUCUCGUUAAAUUGUCUAAAAUCCACAUAAUCAUACUAUUUAUUGUAAUUUUUUUGUACCAAGAAUAUAGGUGAAGCAAAAGGGUUAACAUUUUGUUGGAUUAUGUCACUUUCCAGCACCUAUUUGAGUAGCCUCUCUAUUUCUUCUUUGUGAAUAAAUGAGCUUUUGUAGGGUCUAUGAUCGACUGGUUUAGCUCUUGGUUUCAAAGGAACUCUAUGAUUACACUUUCUCACUGGUGGAAGACUUAAAGGUUCCUCAAACACCAUUGCAUACCUUCGCCAUUAAAGGGGAAAAUUUUGGGCUUCUUAGUGAGUAGUAAAGGAAUAGAGCCCAAACUUGAGGAAAUUUCAAGCAAUUCUUGAUAUGACUCCUCCGUAGAAGAUCAUAGAUGUUAGCAUCUUACCGAAAUAUUAGCUACCUUAAAAAUAAUUCAUAUCUAGGUUGGGAGAAUGCAUCUUACCUGUCUUUAAAACCUUAAAAAGCAUCAUUAAUUUUAAAUGGACACUAGAGUGCCAUGAAACUUUUGAAGCAUUCAAAAUACGCAACUCCUCUCUUAAAAUCUUAUCACUAUAAAGAGAGCAAGAAAGCUUGUUCCUUACCUGUCUUUAAAACCUUAAAAAGCAUCAUUAAUUUUAAAUGGACACUAGAGUGCCAUGAAACUUUUGAAGCAUUCAAAAUACGCAACUCCUCUCUUAAAAUCUUAUCACUAUACAAAGAGCAAGAAAGCUUGUUCCUCUAUUUUGGAGUCUCCAAUCAGGCAGUAAGUUCAGUGUUAGUCAGGAAAAAAGGAGGCGUGUGGUGUCUUGUGUACUACUAUAGUUAAACCCUCCUUAAUAUGAAGACUAGAUAUUUGAAAGUGAAAAAGGUGGUUUUACUUUGGUAAAUGCCUCAAGGAGUUGAAAGUUGACUUUCAAGCUUACUAAAUCAUUAUAUUAAGGGAUUAGCCUCUACGACAUAUACUCCACAAACCCGACAUGUCUGAAUGCUUGAUGAGGCAAGCAAUUAAACUGGAAGAGUAAGGACUCGUUUACUAGCUUAGACCCGUCAUUAAGGGACAAGCCCUAACAAAUUUUAUAGUUAAAUGCUCCUUUUAAAACAAAGAUAUGAACAAUCUUGCACCAAUUAUUGAAUAGGUAAUCCCUCCAAAAUUCACACCCUUAACCUCAUAUUGAAGGCUGUGGUGUUGGAAGAGUACUUGAAAGCCCUAAUGGACAAGUUUUUUAGUACGAAAUUCGUUUUGAGUUCUCGACUACCAACAACAUGUCAAAAUAUAAAGCUCUCCUAACAAGAUUAGGUCUAGUAAAAGCUUUGAAAGCCUCCCCCCUCUAUGACUACAAAGAUUCCCAACUUAUAGUAAGCCAAUACCAAGGGAUUUUUAAAACUAGAGACCUUAUUUUGACAAAGUAUCUCCAAAAGGUUAAGACUCUUCUUUCAAGGAUAGAAAAUGUCAAGAAAAUUUUGAUUACUCAGAUUUCCAUAGAAGAGAACAUGAAAGCAAACCUCAUAUACAAACUAGUAAGCUUCAACUUGGUUGACCUCCCCUUAGAAGUCUGGAUUAAAUUCUUAAGAACCAAACAUAGAAAAUUAACCAAUAAUUGCCUUUGUCGACAUAACAAGUGAUUAGAGAACUACUAUUGAGAAUUAUAUGCUUACAAGAGAGUUGCUCUUAGAUAAGCCAUCUGUCUAAUUGGACAAGCAAUUAGGUAUUGCAUGAUUGAUGAGAUCUUGUACAGGCGAUCUAUCUAGGCUUCUUUGUUGAAAUGCUUAUCCCGGUGAACAAUGUUUAUGUUUUACGAGAAAUUCACAAGGAAAUAUAUGAUCUAAAUAUCGGUUCUAGGGCUCUUACAACCCAAGUCACUAGAGUAGGGUUUUAUUAGCCAAUGAUCCUUAAUGAUGCCACUGAUUGGGCGAAAUGGUAUAAUCAAUGUCAAAAUUUACAUUAAUCUCUAGAUAAUCCUUCACAAAGCUAACCACCAUACCUUACUUGUGGCCAUGCACCUAAUACGAGAUUGAUAUAUUAGACCCUUUCCCAAAAGCAACGGGAAAUAAAAACUUCAUCCUAGUGGAUGUCGAUUACUUCACCAAGUGUGUUGAAGUAGAAGCACUAGUAGAUAUCACCGUCAACAAGGUCAUUUCCUUUCUAUUGAAGAACAUCAUUUGUAGAUUUGAGAUUCUAAAGGUUUUGAUUACCAAUAAUAAAUUAAAGUUCAACAAUCACAAAAUAAGGGAAUAAUGUCAAAAAAUUCAUAUCAACCAUCAACUUUCUUUAAUAUCUCACCCCAAAUAAACGAUCAAGCUGAACUUACCAAUCAGAUUUUAGUGAAUGGACAAAAAAGAAAGAUAACAGAGGUUAUAUUGCACAGAGCUAUUAAAUAAGAUCUUAUAGACCUACAAAACCACCCAUAAAAUAUCUACCAGGAAAAUUCCUUUUCUCCUCACCUAUAGAACUAAGGCCAUAAUCUUGGAUGAUAUUAGAUGUUCGAGUUAUCAAGUGGGCUACUACAUAUCAAAAUGCAACCACCUAGGCCUCAAGAAUAACCUAGAUCUUUUAGAAGAAACUCGUUUGAUUGUAGCUAUAAAAAAUAAGGCCUACCAGCAUAAAAUUUCUUGUUAUCAUAGUGCUAGGGGUAAGAACAAAAUCUUCAAGCUCGAUGACUUGGUAUUGAGAAAGCUGGAGGAAACCAACAAUAGAGAAAGUAAGAGGAAAACUAACCCUAAGAUGGGAUGGCCUUUUCCAAAUCACAAGAAUAGUAAAGGCUAAUACCUAACAUCUUCAAGAUAUUAAAAAGGAAAACCUUCCUUGCACGUGGUACUUGUCGCACGUCAAAAAAAUCCUCGCGCGGCAUCGACUGGCGAUUUUUCAUUCUGUUUAGCUGAUUUGGUUCUUUGGAGUCGCCACCUAGUAAUUCAUUGAGGGCUACUAGGAAACCUGAUGUACUGGUCUUGUCAGAGAUCGCGGGUAAGGGACUGGUUGUGGUUAGGGAAGGUAUUAGCACCCCUAACGCACCCUACCUGAGGUAAGCUGCUUUGUGGACUUGAUGUGCUAAAAAAGUUUUAAAAAUUCUGUUCUCUCAUCGAAUUUUAGAAAAUACAACUUACAUGUAAGUUCAUGAUUCUUUAUCCGUGAUUAAAUCGAAAUAUUAAAUUCUUCUUUAUUCUGGCAAUUUUAUCAUAAAAAAGACAUACACACCACAUUCACUUUCAAGCUUCGUGGACUUGAUGUGAUAUUAAAAAUAAAAUUUUAGCCCAAUUCUAAGGCUUUGAUAAAUCAGUUAUUACUUUUCCAGACUAUAUGUAGAUACAUGUUCUACAUUUCCAUGGAAAAUUCAACAUGAUUUUUAUCUGUCCUUUAGAUAUUUGUGACUAUAAAUUAAAUUCCCUUUUUUUUUUUUAUUCAAUAACAUACAUAAAAAAAAAAUUACAAUCACACACACAUCUCCUUUUUUAUUAUUUAUCACUUUCUCUUUUCUUUUCUUUUUCUUUUACAUCUACAUUUACAUAAUACAAAUAAAAAAUUCAGAAUCAAAUAAAAAAAAUUACAUCAAACAAAUUUUAAAUUACAAAAAAAAAAGCCCCUAAACAAUCUAGAAAUAACAGGGAUAGCCUUCAGCAGCCGGAACAGUGUUCAACAAAUUUUCUGGGCGCAGGAACAGUGACGACGCGUGGAUCCCACGCACCACCGCCACUGGCGGCGCGUGGGACCACGCGCCGCCGUGAAAAACAACCCGAAACAGGGGGGGUCUGCAACGACCUCCUCCCCCUUUCUUUCCUCGCCGGCGCCGACCUGCAAUAACAAUAAAAAACCUAACAAAGCAGUCGAUUUUAAUUUUUUCUUAGUUUUUUUUCAGAUCUGUUUUUUCUUCUUCUUCUCCAUAUCUGCUUCGGAUUUUGCUUCUUCUUGUCCGAUCUGGCUUCUCCUUCUCUGUUUUAGGCGACGGACGGCGCUGCUGGAGGCCGAUCUGGUUUGUGGCGGCGUUGAUGAUCACGGGUCUGCGGGGAGAAGCAGCGGCUGGGAUGGGUCGGCCAGGAGGGGGUCGGUUCGGUUUCCGUGGACGGUCUGGCCCCUCGUCUGGUCCUUGUCCGGCGUGAGGCUGAGCUCGGGCUGUUGAAGCUACGGUGGAGUUGGCAUGGCCGCUGGUCUGCGGGGAGAAGAUCAGGAAGAAGACAACGGGGAUGGAGAGGGACGGCGCCGCUGGGUUCUUCGGGUGGCAGAGGGGAUGGUCCGGGGGGAAGGAGGAAAAACAAAAUCAGAGGUAGGGGAUCGUCCGGGUUCGGUGAGAAAAAGGGAAAAAAAAUUUGAUGAGAGGUUGCUGUCCUUGGUGAUCGGCUGGGGCGAAGUUGAAGAAGAAAAGAAAAAAAAAAAUCUUUGGAGAGGGCUGUCGGCUGUGUUAUGGUCGGUUGAGGGGGGGAGCCUGGCCACCGGUUGGAGAAAAAAAAUCAAGGUGGGGGAGCUGGCGGCUGACUCCUUGAGAGGAGAAAAAAAUUAAGCUUCUAGGGUUUCUGAUUUUGUGUUCCUUCCCUCUAAAAUUACCAAAUGACCCCCCCUCCUCUUCAUUUGAGUUUUCAACGCAUAUUUAUAGGUAAAAGUUUGUUCAAACCUCCAAAUUGGUCCCUCAAUUUUCUUUUUUUUUGUAAAUUUUGAUUUUUUCUUGUUUUUUUUUCUUGUUUUUUUAAAAAUGAGCCAAAAUCAACAUCAAUUCUAUGAGAAAAACAAUGAUUUUAAAAUGACGCGUGAAAAGUCGAACGCGUUCGAAAAACAACUGAAAAUUAAAAUUCUUUUUAGAAAACAUUGAAAAUGCUAAAAACAUUGCAAAUAUAUUAAAAACAUAUUUUUUUGGAUUUUUGUUGUUUUUCACUAUUUUUGGAUUUUUUUGAAAAAUUUAUUAAAAAGGUGGGUCAAAAAUUGGGUAACAACAGUACUCAUAUCAAUAUCAUAGUCAAUAAAGUAUAAAUUAUUCAUAUAUCCAAUAUGAUUUUUGCCUCAUACAGGGAAUGUCCAAAGGCCAUAUCAAUCCAAAAUAAGGAAUCAAAAUGGCCAUCAUCCUAUAACCUUACAAAGAUGGGAUGAACAUGAUCUUCCUAAUGCGAUUGUACAAUAAAUCUAGGAAGAGAUUAAUUGUUUCCAUAAUAUGAUUGCACAAACUUACCUUAAAAAGGACAAGCGUGGUCUCCCUAGUGCCCCCACAUAACCUUCAAAGAUGAGAAUGACAACACCUUUAUCUAAAAGGGAUUGAUAUCAUCUUUCUAGGGCAAUCACCAAUAACCUCCAAGGAUAGGAUGGACAUGGUCUUCCUAGUGCUAUUGCACGAUAUGUAUUGGAAGGGAUUGAUUGUCUUUUUAGUGUGAUUAUGCAACUUACUUUGAAAGGGACAUAUGUAGUCUCACUAAUGCCCCUACAUAACCUCUAAUGAUGGGAAUGACAACGUCAUCAUCAAAAAAUUUAUUAACACCAUCUCUCUAGAAAAAUCGCCCCACAACCUUCAAGGAUAGGAUGAAUGUGAUCUCCUUAGUAUGAUUGUACAAUAAGCCUUUAAAAGGAUUAAUUAUCUCCUUAAUGCCCCUACACAACCUCUAAGGAUAUGAAUGGCAAUACCAUUAACAAAAAAAAAAUGAUACCAUUUUUCUAGGGCAAUCGCCCCACAACCUCCAAAGAUAGGAUGGACACGAUCUUCAUAGUGCAUUGUAUAAUGAGCAUUGGAAAUGAUUAAUUGUCUCUCUAAUGUGAUUACACAACUUACUUUGAAGGGGACAAACAUGACCUCUCUAGUUUCCUUGCACAACCUCUAAGGACAUGAAUGAUAACACCAUCAACAAAGGAGAUAUAAAUCUUCCAAGGCAAUAGCCAACAAUCUCCUAGUAACGAGGAAAACUUGACCUCCACCAAUUACUGUACAAAACAAUUUUCAUUUCCAUAACAUGAAUGCACAUGUAAUACUAGGGGUGUUUCAAUAAGUCUGUUGAACACACAAAUGUAUACUUGCAACCCAAGAGUUCUCCUCUGUUCAGCUAGAUGGGUGCUGAACCUAAGGUGGUAUAAAUGCGAUUGAGCAUGAGACCCAAAAGUGUUCAACUGAUAGGUUUAGACCCAUAAAUAUACAAAUAAAAGAUAAGUGUUGGACCUUGAGAAAAUCUCUACACUAAGGUUUUAAGACCACACAAAUUAAAAAGACAUGAAAUAUUUUUUAUCAAAAGAAAUUCUCAUUACACAAAUGUAUGUUACAAACAUCAUUCUUACAAGACUAAAGUGUAUAUAAGAAUAUACAUACUAAUAAAAAUAUAAGGAGGCUUAAAGGUUUAACAUAGGCUCCUUGACCAAAUACACUCCCUAGUGGGCAGUAACGAUCCUAAUAGGAAAUACAUCCUUAAAAUUAGGCAUGAGGAUGGGAUGAAAGACAAUACUAAAAUUCACAUGCAUUCCUUUAAAGCGUUGAAAAAGUACAGAUUGAAUAUAACCAAAAAAAUCUUGUCCCCAGCCACUUUAGACAAGACUGUCUACCCUUCAAAAAAAUUUUGGAAGUCCCUAACAAAACUUUUUAAUGCCUCUAACCUCGCUUGAGAGUUCUUGACUUGCUUUUUAGCAUAUUAGAGCUCCAAACACAAGACAUCUUUAGAUGUCCGUAAAUCCUUUGUAGCCUGCCUCAAAGUAAUAACUUUAAAAAAGGCCUUCUGCAACCACUAUUUAGUGGAGCUUAUGUGAAGAGUCGCGUCCUUCAUCUUACCCAUUAAGGAGGUGUAGACUGCUUUUGAAUCUCUCAACUUGGCCUUCAUGACGACCUUCUCUUCCUUAAUAUCUUGUUUAUGCUUUUCAUUUCCUUUACUAUACUUAUGUUCUUAUGUUGUGUAUUUAUGUUUCUCUUCUUCAUUAUGUUUAGGUAAGUUUAUUAUGUUAAGGUGAAGAGGUUUCACUAAUGGUGUUAGAAUAGGUAUAAUAUAAACUCAACAUGGACUUCAAUGUUUAUAUCCAAGAAAGUUUGUUAUUAACAUGUCUUAUCUUUUUAUCUUACUAAUUCUUAAUACCUUACUUGUUAAAUGGUUAAUCUAGAUUUGUGUGUAUAACACUUGGUUCAACAAAUGCUUGGCACUUUCAUAGUCAACCGUAUGGUAUAACCUAUACAUGUGCUAUGAAAGGAACUUGAUUUGUUGUUAACAUAAGUUAGCAUCAUGAAUUCCUGAUAAUAUUUAAAAGUUUGGUGUUACUUAAAUAAGAUAAUUAAUAUGAUCAUGUUAACAAUUUAUAAUGAAUUAUUAAGGAUAAAUCAUCCGAUUGGAACCUUCUUUGUGUGUGGUUUCCAGUUGAUUAAUAAAAAGAGUUUAUACUAUACUUAUUUCUAAUAUUAUUAGUGGAUCCUCUAACCUUGACAUUUGUUUUUAUCAUUGUUUUUCUCAUCAACUUCUUUUUCUUUUUUUAUUGUUGUUGUUGUUGUUGUUGUUGUAUUAUUGUUAUUUAUAAUUUAUACAAUUAACCUCCCCAUGGUUCAACCUCGGUCUUGCCGGGUUAUUUAUUACUUCGAUACUCCUACACUAGGGAGAAGACAUCAAUCUUUUGGUCGUGUCAAUGGGACAUGAUCAAACGCAAGAUAAAAAAAGUGUCCUCAAACUCUUGGCCUUGAGAUGUGGACUCCAUAGUUGUAGCCUUCAAAACCACAAUAAAAGAUGAGGACAGAGGGACAAACAUCUCCACUACGAGGGAUCGAAUGCUUGCCUCCAUAACGGUGGAGGCCCUCCUCAUUUUUUAAAUGGGCAACGAUGCUUAUUGUCACUUUUAGGGGAGUCUGGUCAACAUGACCCCCAACCAAAGAGGUAUGACUCUCCUCAGCUUUUAUUUAGGCAGGAACUUCAACCUCCAUCAUUGCUCCCUUAGGAAAUGAGAGCCCAUCCAAAGAAUCGGGUCAUGCUUUAUUUCUUUUUCAAGAAAUAAAAAUAAUUCUCUUGGUGAUGACAAACUCUUUUCUACUAAUCUAGUAGAGGUCUCUCCUGCUUCAUCAAUUGUUAACCCUGAACAAAAAUAAAAUCAAAUGUGAUUUUUUGUUGAAUAAAGACAAAAUGAGAAAAUUUGCAUACUUUGUGACAAGUUUGAGUAUUCCCCUUUAGUCAUCCUAUUAACUUUGUAUUCCAUUAAAGUUGAAACCAAUAACUAAGAGCUUCCUUCUCGCCAAGACUCAAACAAGGUCUAUUGUUUACCUUACGAUGAGGCACCUUCCAGUAAUGGAAACAACCUCAUAUUUGGUACAUACCUCCUAGAGGGCUAAAUAUCCCAGUGUACCUUAUUAUUAGCCAUCCCUCUCCAUUUCUUUAGGUACAUGAGCUUUUCCUUGAGAGCUUUUCACAUGGCUUUAUCAGGGUUAUUGGUAAAAAUAAAGAAUCAUCAGAAGUCGUUACCUCUAUAACUACCCAUGACCAAUUAGUAAUAAGCUUUAAAAAGAUUUACGAUGGGAUCUACAUUGACAAACUUAAAAAACUUGUGAAAUGCUAAUAAGAUCACCCACUAAAGUGUAAUUGUCUCAAUCCUAACCUAUAAUAUUUAAAAACAUUGCUAAUAAACCCUUGAAGAUGGAAUGAAUGUUCUAUUUCAUACAUACACAAGGGGGUUGUAAUUUUAAAGCAUCUCGAGUAGAAGCCAUGGUCUCUUCGCUGAUUUUUUCUCUCUUAGAUGACAAAUAAGCCACAUAGGUUCUAGGUUGUCGACCAUUGACAUCUCCCCAACACUUAAAGUGAUGGGAGCGUCAUCUAUGGGGGUUGGAGGUGACCUUUCCCUCUCUUAAAAACCCUUUGAAGCACUAAGUGAAAUAAUGUUCACGCUUUCAUAAUCAGAUCUAACCCUAUAAAUGUCUUUUUUUUUUUAAGAAAAAGGAAAACGAUGUACAAAAUAAAAAUAUAGGAGUGACUUACUCAAGAAAUCUCCAAAUCAACUUAACAACGACUGCAAAACGUACAAAAAAAAUGAUGAAGGUAAACAAUUGGGUUUAUAAAGAAAACGAUUUAUCAUCUUAACUAUUGGAUAAAGGAUAUGUCAUAGCAUCUCAAAUCCCUAGAAAUCUACUCAAAUAAUUCAUUAAAAGCAAGUCGUCUUUUUUUUUUUCCUAAAAAAAACCUCCAAUAAAGAUGUGAUGUCUAGCCCAAAAGGAUCUCAACAAUUCAACAUUGGAAAGAAAAAACAUUUGGGGAUGGUAAAGAGAUCUCUUGAUUAAAAAGGAUGGCCCUUUUAAGAUCUUUGCACAUUAAAUACACAAAGACUUGGGGGGCUAUUGAUGAAUUGAUAUAUUUUAUAUUGAAAACUAUUUUUUUCCUCAUAAAAUCCAUAACUAGAAGGGAUCGAGAGAAAAAAAAUCCAUUAUAGAAACUUAGCAAAGGCCAAGGCCCAUAGCAAAAGAAACUAUUAUAAUAAAGUCAUUGAAUUAAUCAUUGAAAGGUCUUAAAAUAAUCUAUAAAGAGAGACUAUCUUGCAGGAAAUCCGGCUCCUGUCAACAACCUUUGGAAUCCUGAGUUAUAGAUAAUAAAAGAUGAGCAUGAUCAUCACCAUCAUUCAAACACGUUGAAAAGUAACUUACCUAGCAUUCUGAAUUAUAGAGCAUCAUUGGUACCCUAAUCCGGGCCACAAUUUUGUUAGGUCUUUAGUUCCCCGCAUCCCGCGCCUCCAACUUAAAAGCAUACCAACUAAUAUUAUUAUAAUAAUUUAAUUUAUCACAGGCCUUCAUAGGGACUGCUGGAAAAAUCCUUCAGAAUAUCCAGGAAGGUGUGUUUGAAAUCCAAUGAGGUAAUCAUUUAAUAGGCAGUGUUUGGAAUAGUUGAUACUUUCUGGAACCAUCCAUUUAUCGUUUCAGUGCAAGUUGAUGUUUGUUUUGUUGAUACUUUCGCUGUUACAAAUGCAGCCUUCAGGGAUCAAGGUUUGGAUAUGGCCCCCAAGGCGCAUCAGGUGCAAGGGGUGGAACUGUUGCUCAAAGAGGAGGGUGCUGCGGCUAAUUAAAACACAAAUAGAACUUGUUUAUUUGCUCUUAUUGUGCAAUGUCCUUCUGCACAUCCGGAUCCCUCGAAACUUUCAUGUGACUGCAGACGAACAUUUAAUGUAGAGAUCAAACAUCAGUUAUCUGAAGUCAAUUGAUUAAGUUAUGAAAGCCCGCAUGUUCAUAGCUUUUCUGAAACGUAAUUUUUUUUAUUGGAGAUUCAUGACUCCACCUAGCACAGUAUUGCAAGUUUAUCUGAAAUCAUCUACCAACGCGCAUCAUGAAAACAGCUGCUCCAUUUUUUAAUGGCGAGUGGUUGAAGAGGCGCAAGCAGGUAACCAUACAUGUCAACAGACUUGCUGCCGCUAUAUGAGCUCUCAGUUGAGGUCAGGAUGGAUACAAACAGACUGGAGGGCCUCUUCUCCUUUAGAUUUACAAAGAUGCUCUGAGACAUGGAGCUUCCUCCGUUCGGUCAGAAUAUGCUAGAGAGAGAUCCUUGACCUAAAAUAGAUUCUGCACCAAGAAACUCAUGCGAUUGAACGUAGAUGAUUGCAGCCUGGGUCAGGGGAAUCAUCUAUUCACACUGCACGCUGCCUUGUUACCAAUAUCUUGCAUCCAAAUUUGCAAGUUUGGGUGCCUUGUAAAGGCUGAAAGAGAACAAGACCGGACCGGCAGGAGCUCCAUGAGCAAAAUAAUGAUCUUAAAACAGAUUGAUGAUUGUAAAAUACACAGGUUUCCAUAUGAUCUUACAAUGCUACUGUUGAUGAGUUACUUCAUUUUGAUCAAAUCAUCAAAUGUUACAAACAGUAUCAAAAUUGUGAGCAGCGCUUGUAUCAAAAUGCACCGCAUGCAUAGGGAAGAGAAAAGCAAUAAAUCUUAUCACAUAAGCUCCUCAUCCUGAGCAUAAAGUGACAUGCUCGCAACCCAUCACUAUGAACCACCAAAUACCUGCAUACAGCAGCAAAACUUAGAUCCAAGGAAUAGAUUAGGUGAUGAAAGUUGUUACCUACAAAUAAUGACUCACCCCUGCCAGGACAUCUUUAGAGAGUUGAGGUUUGCUUCUCUCUCUUUCAGCAAUUGGUUUUUUCUGUGGGAAUUGUCGGCAAACCGUUGGUUUCUGUGGGGCAACAGAAAGUUCACCUCCAGAUUCUUGUUGGACCUUCUGCUUCUAUAAAUAGAAAAGGAAACCCAUCACGUAAAGGAGGUUGAAGAAUAUAUGAUGCCAUGCCAUAAAAAAGAGAGAAAAAGUCCCAGAAUGCAUAUGGUGAAACCAUUUAUUUACAUUACAAGAAAGACAUACUAAACAAAGCAGAAUGACAUGAAAUUCACGAGACUUUAUAAUUAGUUAGGGGUAUCAAGGCAUCAGCAUGUACAAAAAAAAAUUUCCAAUAAAAAACAAAACCAUUCAAAACUAAGAUUUUAUUAUAUAUAUAUUUUUUAACACAAGGAGUGUUAGAUAUCCAAGUCGUUCAAAAUAGGAAAUAACAAUUGUCUGGCAAAAUUUGAGAGACUAUAUUUCAUGUUCACACAGACGCAUUAUACACACACACACACACACACAUAUGCUACAUCUUUAUCAGUUGCAAAUUGCAAGCAUGCUGCCCUUAAACCCAAUCAAGUACAUGCCUCUAAAGCACCUACAUUUUCAAGUUCCCUCAAAAACUUAUGGUUACCGGCUUACCCAUCAGAGCUUGCCAUGUCCAAUGAAAUGAAAAGAUAACUGGUUUUGACAUUUACUGACAUAAGGAGCUAGGAGGGGUAUAAUAAAGUCUCUUUGUUAAGUAUUCAUUGAGGAUUUUAUAAUAAUUAUCACAUAAGCAGCAUAUUAAGGAUUACAAUAACAAAGAGUAUCUGAUUAGUGUUCAUUGAGGAAUUCAUCAUAGAUGAUCAUGUAAGCAGAGCAUAUUCUAAUGCAUGCUCAACACCUAUGGAUGUGAAAUACAGAUUUGAAAACAUCACGUAAAUAAAACACAAAGAUAUGUAUGCACAUCACCUCCCUCUGAUAACAAUACCCCCUCAAUCCUCCUAUUCCUAUUCCUCUUAUUUCUUCCAUCCUAUUGAAGAGAACUACCUUUUUUUAAUCAAAUUUCAUUGAUAUAAUUAAUUUCAACCAUAUAGAAGGAGCUGACACAUGGCAUCGUGUCUCAGCUGUGUCCAUACAUAGCUCAUCAUGAAAGUGUCAUGCUACUGAGGGAAGGAGGCUAACUCUUACAAAACAAAAGGAGCCUAUUCGAUCAGACGUCAAAAUGAUUUACUUGCCUCUCUAUAUAAACAAAAAAAAAUCAUUUAAUUACAAGUUUCAAGUACCUACUAACAAAUUUCAGAUUCACAAUGAAAAUAUCUGGCUUUAACUGAUUCUAAGCUAGCCAUACUGCCCAACUAUUGUGCCAAACAUACUUAAACUGGCCUAGAAGGAACUUGAGUAUUGUAGUCCUGACACAGAGAAUGAAAAGCCAAGUUUAAUUCCUUAUACAGGUCCAUCAAAUUGAUGACUUGAGCAAUGCCAAAAUAUCUCAAAACAGCACCAUAGAUGAUGGUUCCAGGAAAAAACAAGUCUGCAACAGUGAGAAGUUAUAGAUGCUGUUUACCUUCUUCAUUCGUUCUUCAAUAGAGCUUAAAGCACGAGACUGGUCAACUUUUUUGAGAUAGAAAUCCCGCUCCCUCUUUGCAGCAGAAAUUUCUAGCGCUAAUUUUUGUUCCCGAAUAGCUUUCUUGUAAGCUGCAUUUAAAGCACUAUAAUUUAGACAAUAAACUGUAAAACAUGAUAAGAUAGAGCACAACAGAAACGAGUGAUAUACCAAUUUCAUCUGUAAGAUUAUCCCAUUUGAAUUUACUUAGAUACUUGAUAUUCCAAUGAUCAUAAUAGAAUUGUGACCGCUUCUUCCCACCUAAAAAAAAACAAGACAAAGAUGAAAUUAAAGAACACUUGGGAGGAAAAAAUAAGUAAAUUAUUUACAAAGCAAUAGCACACAUAAGCUAACCCCUUUUUUUUAAAAAAAAAAAAAAAAACAGAUAUGACAAAGAAUUGGUAAAAUCAACAACAAAAAAAAAAUCUAUACAAAGAACAAGAACUUGACAUGUUUCCUUGAUGGUUUCUCUACAGAGCAAACUAAAAAUUCUCAUUCAACCAACAAAACAAAAGGUACAUAAAAAAAAUUUAUAAAUUACCUAUUUGUUCACCAUUUAACAAAUUAGCAACCCUUUUAGCAUUACUUUUACUAGCAAACUCAACCCACCUGAAAAACACAACAAACAAAGCAAUUACAUAAUAAACAACACAAUUCAAAUAUAUGUUCAUGUAAUUAACACAAAACAAUGUAUGAAAAUUACCCUUCAGAGUAUAAUUGAGCUUUAGCUCCACCACCUCUUUUUCUACUCUUAUUAUUAUCAUUCACUUGAUCAAUCGAAGAACUAUCUGCAAACACACAGCAAAAAUUUCUCAAUAAAAUUGAAAACCCAUUUUUCUCCUUAUUUUAAAAUAUAAACACAAAAGAAGUAUCAGAUACUAUACUUUGAGGAGCAAGGUAAAUUCGUUGAAUUUCACCGUACUGACUGAGAAGUUGACGAAGCUUAACAUGAUCCAUACCAGGAGGAACUCUACUUAUGUAACAAACACCACGCUUAUGAGCCUUUUCUGCUUCUUUCUUUAACUUUUUCUUCUUUCCCUCCUCUAAAAACAACACUUGUUCUUGUUCUUUAUGUUCCUCACACAUUCUUUCCUAAAAUCAAAAAGGAAAGAAAUGGAUAAAACUACAUAGGCUAGGUUAACCUAGCUUCAGGUUAGCUGAAAUACAAAAUUCAUAACAAUUAUCCCAUCCUUAAAAUUUUAGAAACUAAACAUGAAGACAACAUUAAUAAACAUUCUAAAAGGCUAAGAGGCAUUGAGGCACUCACCUAGGCACUCCAUGCAAGGCAAAGCAAGGCCACAACACCUUUAUUAGCCUCGGGCGAUGAAUUUAAAUGAAGUGCUGCCUAGGCGAUUGCCUCGUGAGUGGGCACCAGGUGUUAAAGCGAGUGCCUCACUGAAAUACUUCUUUUUCUGUUGGAUUUUCCCUUUUUUAAAAAAUAAUUUAUGUUUUGACCUAUUUGUCCAUUUUUUUAUUUAUCACAAGAAACAAGUUAGGGGUAUUUAAAAAAAAAAAAAAACAAAGAUUAGGGUAAAAAAAGAAUAAAAAAAAUCUUAAUUGGAAAGAUAUAUUUUUUAGAUUUAUAUAAUAUAAUAUAAUAUAAUAUCAUAUCAUACAUGUAUAUUUUUUAAUCUAUAGUAUAUUGCCUUGGUUCAUUCGGGCGAGUGCCGAGCACCUCGGUCAUUUUACAGGCUUUGUGCCUUCUACACCUUUGACAACACUGAUGCCAAGCUAGCCAUUGUUUCAAUCCAAGAAUUAUUGACUGAUAAUAGAAUUGCAUGAUAACAAUAGCACAGUGAUGAAAAUAAAACUUCCCACCACACAAGUAACUUUGUCGCAAACUUCUCAAAUACAUUAAUGUACAUACAUCAGCAUCCAUUGAGAGAGAGAAUAAAACCCGGCCGGGAAAAAAAACCAGUAACAUACCAGUCUGGCACGCUCUCCCUUUUCUUCGGUAGCUUCAUCGUUAAAAGUUUUCUCGACCUGCAAUAUUUUCCAAGUAAAGUCAACUUCAAAAACAAAAUUCCAAAACUAAAAAAAGAAAUGGGAAGCACUAGUCAGCAACCGGCAUACCACCAUUGCAAAGUUUAAACCUAAAGUCAUCCGGACUAUCCACACCAUUAAUCAAAUCCAUGCAUAAAACCCUAAGAAUUCUAAAAAUAAUUCAAAUCAAUGCAUUACAAUGAAAAUUGAAAAGGUUAAAAACGAGAAAGACCGGAACAAUCAAUAAUGUUCGAUAAGAAAAUGGAAGAUUUCUUAGGAAAUCCAAAGAAAGCUUGAUUUUCUUCCCCUUUUAUCAAAAUCCAAAGCAUUAAAGCCUCAAUGCUGGCGUGUAGCCUAGCCUAGCCUUCUCCUUCCCUUUCUUUGGUGUUUGACAGACUGGACAAGAAUCUAGAAAGAAAAAAAAAUUCCUCACCAUGACUCACGGUAAUGGAUCGGGAUGGCCUGCGGCUGCUGCCGAUGCUUCUGGAGCUACUACUACUGCUUCUGUAGCGGAGGCUGAAGGUGGCUGCUGCGAAGGAGGAUGGCAGACGGCGGUGGUGGAAAAGACUUAGGAGGAGGCUGCUGGAACUGGGUGAAUAGCAAGCGAGGAAGAACAAUCGUC
Molecule: long non-coding RNA, 34531 nt
Filed under: Populus tremula
Lineage: Eukaryota; Viridiplantae; Streptophyta; Magnoliopsida; Malpighiales; Salicaceae
Description: long non-coding RNA (PTRE_LNC000245)
Source: RNAcentral